CUCGUUGUGAUGGCACACAGAGUCAAUGAAUUCAGCCAGGGCACAGAGGACAUCCCGCAGAGGGUGGGUGAUUCAACAGGGCAUUUGGGGCUGUGACUGAGUGCAUCUAUGGGAAGUGUGAGCAUCCAGUGAGAACCAGGGCCCCACAAAGCCCUCGUUUCAGCAGGAUUGCUUCACCAAGAACCAGAUGCUUAUGGACAGCUCAGGAACCUAGGUUAGGCAAACCAUAUGCAAUCAGGAAUUAAUUUCCACAUAGGAUGGUGUUUUCAAUGAGAAGUAAUAUUAGGCAAAGACUGAAAAAUAUGGUUACUGUGCUGUUAUAGCAUGAGAUGAGAAAAUCAAGUAUGAAGAGAAGAUAGAAAAGGAGAAGACUUGUGAACAGCUGGAAAAGUGUCUUGGAAGAAUUGGGAACUGGAAAAAAAGUAAGCUUCAAGACCAGGCAGAAGUCUAGUGUUAACAGUUUUUAACAUGGCAUAUUCUAUCUUGGACUAUGAGGGAAGCAUGGUGACUUUUGUGAUAGAUAUCCAGACAGUGUUGGUCAUAUUUGGAACAGAUCAUUCUGUGUCCACCUCUUACAACAUUCAGCCUCCAAUGUCCUCAGAGAGUUCCUGUCAAUAGCACAGCAUGAUGCAUUUACUGGGCAGUGAACCUGAUGCAAAUCUGCCCCUGCUGCUCACAGUCCCAGAACCCAGCAUGAGUACUGGUAGAGAGCAAACAUCACUGUCUUCAAGGAAGACACAAGGCUAAAGAUCCCUGGACACUGUGACACCUCUCCCAGUCUGCAGUCACAUGUAUUUGGCCAACGUGGGCAGGCUGACCAGAAUGUCAGCAGGACAGGAGCAUCACAGGGAUGCACAGGAACCAGGUGGGUACCACGCUAUUCCUUCCAGGCAUAUUCCCUGCUUGGCUCCACAACCCCUCCUUGGUGGCAACUGAGCAAAGAAAAAAAGCUUUACACAGAUACUGUCCCACAGAACUUCAUGGGGUGGUCUGAAAUGUCAUCUUCAUCUACUAAAACAAACGUGGUUAACCACAGUGAGGCCUCUGCAGAAACAAAAAAGCAGAAAAAUGCCAUGUAUUCUGCAGAGGUGAUUAAAUUGCAUGUCCUGUAAGUUCUUCUUAUUAUAAUCACUUUUGAUAUGCCCUGUGUAGCAUUCAUCUGGCUUUCAUCCCUACCUCUGUCUGCUGUUUGUGGCUGAAGAAAAAGUGACGUUUAUUUUGAGCUAAAAGACAGCUUUGUUCCAGACCAGAUGUCUCAUUCACUAUGCAUAUGUCAGCCCUGCAGGUGCUAUCUCAGACUCAAGAAACAGCAAGUUUUUCAAAUAACAAUGCAAUGUCAAGAUAUUACUUGCACAAAAUAAUAAAACACUUUCUCAGCUUCA
Molecule: long non-coding RNA, 1382 nt
Filed under: Parus major (Great Tit)
Lineage: Eukaryota; Metazoa; Chordata; Aves; Passeriformes; Paridae
Description: lncRNA (ENSPMJG00000009740.1)
Source: RNAcentral